Molecule: long non-coding RNA, 264 nt
Organism: Humulus lupulus (European hop)
Lineage: Eukaryota; Viridiplantae; Streptophyta; Magnoliopsida; Rosales; Cannabaceae
Exons: 3
Source: RefSeq, a predicted model, not a curated record
GCUGCCGAAAUUAGAGAGAGAGAGAGAGAGAGAGAGAGAGAGAGAGUGGCGUGUAGAGAGAGAGGGAGAAGAAGAAAGAAAGAAACAAGAAGAAGGUGAAGAGGAACCCAUCUUAGAGCUUGAACAAGGGUGUGAAGUUUGGGUGUUGAUCUUAUUGUGUUCUUGAUUUUACAAUCAAGAGAGGUAGCAAAUAGGAUUUCUUUAUGGCACGCGUGGUGACGUGAGGAGUUCUAUCAUCAUGGGGUGUAUGGCGUGGGGUAAUCC